Long non-coding RNA from Octopus sinensis (East Asian common octopus), 101 nucleotides. RefSeq lists it as uncharacterized. The transcript has 3 exons. The record is from RefSeq and is a predicted model, not a curated record. Lineage: Eukaryota; Metazoa; Mollusca; Cephalopoda; Octopoda; Octopodidae.
CCCAGUUUAUAUAUUUCUACUAAUGAUGCUAGUGGUAACUGCAACGAACCUCUUUUACAAUAAAGAACUGAACUGUUCAACAUCAUAGCCAAAACUAAAGG